GACCUGGCGAGUUGCCUUGGACGGGUGAGGAGCCAAGGACGAGGCGCCCUGAGCCGAAGACUCCUGGCGGUUCCGCUGACUGGAUUUCCUCUCCAGGUGGUACUUGGCCUGACUCUUGGAGCGGUCCAGCAGAUUGGCAGUUAAGCUCUUGCGCUUCACUGCCCUUGAGUGAUAGUGCUGCUCUGUCCCCUCCGUGUAGGGCUCUAAGUGGUGCUCCUGGUCCUGGCUAAGCUGGCUUGAAUCCUUUCCUUGAUCCUGCUGCCAGCCCAGGUGCUCCUCCAGGUUGUGUUGGCGAAGUUUCCGUUUCUUCUUGGGCCUUUCUGGCCCUCUGCCCUUCUCACUGAUCUCUCCGGACAGCCCAGAUUCCUCCCCAGUUUCAGACUCCACAACUUGCAGUAUUGUCUCCGUUUCUCUUCUCUCCCUCGGGUUUUCCACCUGUUCCUCCUCAGAAACUUCCACAAUCUCCACAUACCUAGAGACUCUAGGUCUCACCACCCUUCUUGCCCCUUCUGGGACACUUAACUGGUGCACAUCCGGGGAGACUUCAGGCCCCUCUACCCUCCUUGGGGCCUCCUCAGGGGGCCUCACCACAGCUACAUCUUCGGGGGGUUCCUGGGCGUCCCCAGGCUCCCUUCCUUCUUGACUCCACAGCUCCAUACUUAACAGGCUUAGAGCUUCCCGUUUCAACCGGUCCACCCACUCAAGGCAGGUACUCACAGUAUACCAUCUCCAACCCUUUCCCUCACAUCCUCUCUGGUAGGCAGCCUCAGCCUACUAAUAAGUCUGGUUGCCCAGGAUUGUCUCGCCCUCCACUCAAAGUGAAGCUAUCUAAGACAAAACCCUUUUCCCAGUUGGGGGUUAUUUUCUGUCGGGUAAAAAUAAAAUCCACUUCCCUUAAGGCAUCUCUCUCCCUUUAAGGCCUGAGCGUGACGUGGGUCUUCUCCAGGGUUUCAGAAGACUCUUGGCUUGUCUUGAGGUUCUUUAAUGGACACUUCCUGGAUGGAGAGUCAGGGGCAUGUCUACCGUGGAGAGGUCAGACACCGUGGCCAAAAUUACGAGUCAGUCUCCGUUUCUUCAAAGUUGAAAGUGUUUAGUGCCCUCUGGUGUUUGCAAAGAGACGUGUCAACUUGCCACAAGCUGGAGUUAUCAGAAAGGAGCCUGCAUUGAGAAAAUGCCCCCAUGAGAUCCAGCUAUAAGGCUUCAGUUUUCCCAUCUGUAUGCUGAACUCAGCUCCUCACUCAGGAACUCGGACUCUCGUUGAGCAUGCAUAAUGGAGCUGAGCCAAAUCCAAUAAGAAAGCAACCAUGAAAAUAAUAUUUUACAUUUAUUCCAGAAAGUCAGUACACUGUUUUCCUACCUAUUCACCAUAAGUAAUUACAUUUGAAAUUCCUUCGAUCUGUUCCUAACACAAUUGAACACAGCAGUACAAAUGUAGCCAGUGAUCUAAUAGGAACAUUUGAAAAUAUUUAGAAUGAGAAAGGAGACUUAAGAGACCACAAUCCACAAAAUCUAAUGAGGCAGUGACAUCUUUGUCUACUGAUCCUUCCUGGAGUUGAGGAGGGCCGAAAGACGCUGAAGGUCUCAGAGUGCUUCUAAAGGUUAAUCUCUAAGACUUGAACUCACACAAAUAUAGAAUUAAACCAAGAGAAUUCACAAGAGAGGAAUUGCGAAUGGCUGAGAAGCACCUAAAGAAAUGUUCAAAGUCCUUAGUGGUCAGAGAAAUGCAAAUCAAAAUGACCCUGAGAUUGGUGUAAACCAAUCAGAAUGGCUAGGACCAAAACACAUGUUGGUGAGCAUGUGGAGAAAAAGGAACAUUCCUCCAUUGCUGGUAGGAUUGCAAACUAGGACAACCACUAUGGAAAUCAACCUGAAGGUUCUUCAGAAAAUUAGGAAUAGAUCUAUCUACCUGAAGACCCAGCAAUACAACUCUUGGGAAUAUACCCAAAAGAUACCCCACCAUGCCAAAGGGGCAAGUGUUCCACUAUGCUCAUAGCAGCCUUAUUUGUGAUACCCAGAAGCUGAGAAGAAUGGACACAGAAAAUGUGGUUCAUUUACACAAUGGACUCAACUAUUAAGAACAAGGACAUCCUGAGUUUUUCAGGCAAAUGGGUGGAACUAGAAAAUAUCAUCCUCCGUGAGAUAACUCAGACCCCAAAAGACAUGCAUGGGAUAUAAACACUAAUAAGUGGAUAAUAGCCAAAAACAAGUACAGAAUACCCUAGAUACAGUCCUCAGAAUUCAAAAAGUCAACAAGCUGAAGGGCCCAAGUGAGGAUGCCUCAAAGACUCAAAAGGGAGGGACCUUAGAUGAAAUGCCAGACAGUAGGGAGAAGAAACUUAUAGGGCUUAUCCCCAGCAGAAAGACAGACCAUCAAAUGAGGGAGCGGUUUGCCAUUCCACAGCCAAAACUCUGACCCAUAAUUGUUCCUGUCUGAAAGAACUGCAGGGAUGGAAAAAGAGAGAAGCUGAGGAAAAGAAGGUCCAGCGACAGGCCCAAAGUGGGAUCCAGCUCAAAGGGAAGUCCCAAGGCUGGACACUAUUACUGAGGCUAUGGAACACUCACAAAAAGGGAUCUAUCAUGACUGUCUUCUUAAAGACCCAACAAGCAGCUGAAAGAGUCAAAUGCAGAUAUUUGUACCCAACUAAUGUACAGAAGCAGCUGACCCCUGUGGUUGAAUUAGGGAAAAGCUGGAAGAACCUGAGGAGGAGGGCGACCCUGUAGGAGGACCAGCAGUCUCAAUUAACCUGGACCCCUGAGAUCUCUCAAACACUGGACCACCAACCAAGCAGCAUAUACCAGCUGAUAUUAGGCUUCCAAUACAUAUACAGCAGAGGUCUGCCAGGUCUGGGAUAAGUCAGAGAAAAUGCACUUAGCCCUCAAGAGACUGGAGGCCCCAGGGAGGUUAGAGGUCUGAUGGGGAGGGGGCUGAGGAGGGACAUCCUCGUGACAAAAGGGGGAGGUGUUCAGGGAGGAGAUGUAGGAUGUGGAACAGUUGGAGGGUGGAUCAGGAGGAGAAUAAAAUCUGGAGUAUAAAAAUACAUACAUACAUACAUACAUACAUACAUACAUACAUACAUACAAAAUUUUAAAAAAAAAAGGAAAUACCCCUCCCUAUUCAACAGAAAAAGCAGACACCGCAUAGGGAAGACUCAAUCCAUUUUUAUGUUACUCUGUGAGACCUUGGAUCCCAGUCUUAGAAAGGAAAAUGUCUAAAGUGGUCAGGUAAUCCUCUCUAUUACUAUUGCUUUGUAUAUGCAAUCUAUAAAUGACAUUAUUCUAUUAAUGACUCUGUCCUUGAAUAGUAAACAGACCUUUAACAUAAAAAAGUUAUUGAAUUUCCUCUACUUUACCUCUUCAACAUAUUUGCUGCAUUAGUAUUAAGAAAUUUGAGCCAGAUGUGGUGACUUGACCCCAUAGUUUCAGCAUCUGAGAGCACACACAGGAGGACCACCUUGGACUACAUAGUGAGUUUUGGGCCAGCCUGAGCUACAAAGUCACACCCUGUCUCAACAAGCAAACAUACAUAUAUACAUAAUUACAUACAAAUAUACAUUCAUGCAUACAUACAAGCCUACAUACAGAUGUAUACACAUGGAAAAUACAUAUGUACAUAAUUCAUACACACAUGCAUCCAUAAAUGUACAUACAUACAUGCAUACACACAUAUGUUCAAACAAGCACACUGUAUUAGAAUAUAUAAGAAUAGAACUGAUAGAAUUAAUCUAUGUGUAGAUCUAUAUGUACUCAGCUGGUUGGGGAAGUCACAUCUUUGGGUAUAGUCCCACUAGGUCAACAAUGGCUAUUUCUCAACAAAAAGUCCAAGAAUCCAGUAGUUGUUCAAUCCAUGAAGUUGGAUAUCUCAGCUGGUCUUAAGCGUAGGACAGACCCCCAAAGGUGGAUAUUCCUAUCUUAAAAAAUCUGGAUUAAAGGUAGAUCUUCCUAUUUCAAAUGAUUUAAUUAAGAAAAAUUCAUCAAAGAAUUACCUGUCCAUUUGGGUUUUAGUUAGUUCCAGAUAUAGUCAAAUUGACAACCAAGAAUACCUAUGCACAUGCAUACACAAUACAUACAUUCACACAUAUGCAUAUACAUGAAUGCACAAUAGGGUCUGUCUAGAGCAGGGUCUGGCUUUUUCAUAGGUUACUAUGCCUAAGCAUUUGAAAAAACUGUUAUUAAUGCUGACUGUCUUGAGAGUUGAUGCUACCAAGAGGGUUCAUGGUAGUCUUUCUGCCCAUAUGAUAUCUUCUCCCCAUCUAGGCAGACCAGGCUCUUGGAGAUCCAGUACACUAUGAAUGAAGCUCAGUUGAUCUUGUCCUGGUAGUGAACAGAUCUCACUUGAGAUCCACUCACUAUAUGUACUCAUGUGUGUGUGUAUUUAUGCAUCUAUUAUACACUGGUCCAAAAAAUUAUGCUGUCUCUGAGUUCAUAGGACACAAUGGUGAGAAGAAAGCUUUGUUAUGGAUCUCAGCUGAUGAGAUCUGAUGCAUCUCCAUUUGUUUCUCUUCCUGCAGCUGACAGUAGCAUUCAAUAAGCAUCAUGAAUCCUUGUAGUAAGUUAUUAGAUCCAGUGGUGCUACUGGGGUAAAAUCAUCCUGAGACCACUCAGCGUGACCAAGGUUCAAAUUGAGAGUCUGUAUUAUGUCUGCUGACAUAACUAAAGUUGAAACUCUUCAUUAUGGGGGUUUCAACCAGACACACAGGGAAGGAUUUUUCUGUCCUUGAAGUACAGUCUUCCACACCCAAAGGCCUGGCAGACAUCUUACUUUCCUCUCUUGACCACUCAGUCCAAGAAUGAUGGCCCUUUGGGAGGCUUAGCAGUGAGAUUGGAAGGCUACUUUUCUAACAGUAACACCAUUAGCACAGAAUUAUGACUCAAAAGUCUUGAAGCUAUAUAUCAGUUAAGAUCCAACCAGAGGCACAAACACACACUAAGUUCAACAGGAAAAUAGUUUUAAGACUGUUGACCACCAAGGGCACAGGGACAAGGAGAGUUAGGUGAGAGUUAGGAGGUAAAGAGGAUGGUGAAUGUCUCAGAAGUGACAGGCCAGAGCAUUUUAAAGCUUUACAAAUAAGGCAGAGUACCCAGGCACAAGCCUAACUCCCCCAUCAGGCUGGGAUAGUCCUUGGAGGAGACAGUGGUGGGGAUUAGUGGAUGUCAGAGUUUAGGGUGAUGCCUCAGUUGUUAGAAAUUUGUGAGUUUAUCCUAUGAAACUUGCAGAAAAUCUACUCUCCAGGGGCUGGGAAUGUUUUUCUGGGAAUUCACCUCAUGUGGGUAGGGAAGUGGGGGGAGGGUAUGGGGGACUUUUGGGAGAGCAUUGGAAAUGUAAUUGAGGAAAAUACGUAAUAAAGAAAUAUUAAAACAAAAACAAAACAAAACAAAAGACCUUCCCACAAAUCUGCCUGCAUGAAGAGAUGCUGGGAUUCCUGCAAAUGACAGUAGUUGGCAUUCCACACAGCAUGAAUUGACACCUGGGGAAACCUUGCUUCUUGCAGGAGGUUGUCCCAGAAAUGUGACUCACUCAACCACCUGGGUAGACACACCACAGUGUUUCUCUUGUGCCCACUACUGAUAAUUCUUAUUGUGCUAGAUUUCAAAGUUAAAAUGCUUAAAAGGCCCAGAUCAAUUUUUAUAGGACAGGUAAUAAAUUAGAAAUUUGGACCUACAAAAAAAUAAUUGGCAAGUAGGCAAAGGUGAAAUAUAUAUAAUGAGAUUUAUUUUCUUGUCCCAGCUGAGAGUUUGGAACUUGCCUAUAGUUCCACAGUAAGGAGGUGUCAGCAAGGGUAGGUUUCAGCUGACCCCACGUUAAACCCAGUAUAUGACUUUGCAACCACAUGAUCAUGCAAAUGAAACAGUUUUAUUUCGGUUUUCUUGUAUCUGUUGAAAGUCGCUUUGUGACUGAAUAUAUGUUCCAUAAGUUGCUGAGAAGAAGGUAUAUAUUUUUUGUGUAUGUGUUGGUUGAAAUGUUUUGUAGAUAUUUGUUAGGUCCAUUUGAUUCAUAAGAUAUGUUAGCUCCAUCAUUUCUAUUUAGUUUUUGGACUGGAUGACCUGUCCAUUGGUAAGAAAGUCUCUUCCUAUUAAUGUGUGAUAUUUUAUGUAUGAUCUAAGGUUUAAUAAUGUUUCUUUCACAAAUGGGAGUGCCCUUGUAUUUGGGGUAUAAAUGUUAAGAAUUGAAUGUCAUCUUGGUAGAUUUUCCCUUUGAUGAGUAUAAAAGAUCCUUCUCCAUCUCUUUUAGUUAAUUUUGGUUUAAAGUCUAUUUUAGAUAUUAGAAUAGCUAUAUCAGCUUGCUUCUUUGGUCCAUUUGCUUGGUAAAUCUUUUUUCAAUCCUUUACUCUGAGGUAAUGUCUAUCUUGGAUAUUGAUGUAUGUUUCUACUGUGCAGAAAAAGGAUGGAUCCUGUUUUAAUAUACUUUCUGUUAGCCUGUGUCUUUUUAUUGGGG
Mus musculus (house mouse) is the source of this 6433-nucleotide long non-coding RNA. RefSeq annotates it as predicted gene, 33190. NCBI's taxonomy places the organism in Eukaryota, Metazoa, Chordata, Mammalia, Rodentia, Muridae. The transcript is spliced from 4 exons. The record is from RefSeq and is a predicted model, not a curated record.